Mytilus californianus (California mussel) is the source of this 5268-nucleotide long non-coding RNA. RefSeq lists it as uncharacterized. The record is from RefSeq and is a predicted model, not a curated record. NCBI's taxonomy places the organism in Eukaryota, Metazoa, Mollusca, Bivalvia, Mytilida, Mytilidae. The transcript is spliced from 4 exons.
UGAUGGACAAUUUAAAUUAAAUUUAUUUGAAAGUUAUCCUUUUUAUACGACCGCAAAAAUUAAAAAUAUUUUGGUCGUAUAUUGGUAUGACGUUGGCGUCGUCGUCGUUGUCGUCCGGCGUCGUCCGAAGACACAUUGGUUUUUGCACUCUAACUUUAGUUUAAGUGAAUGGGUCUCCAUGAAAUUUUACCAUAAGGUUCAAUACCACAAAAGGAAGGUUGGGAUUGAUUUUGGGGGUUAUGGUACCAACAGUUAAGGAAUUAGGGGCCAAAAAGGGGCCAAAAAUAAGCAUUUUUGUAACUUUCAGACAAUAACUUGUGUGUAAGUGUAUGGAUCUCUCUGACAUUGUACCACAAGGUUCCAUAUCACAAAGGGAAGGCUGUAAUUGAUUUUGGGGGUAAUUGCCUCAAAAUUUUAGGAAUUAGGGGCCAAAAAAGGGGCAAAAAACAAGCAUUUUUCUAGUUUCAUGACAAUAACUUGUGUGUAAGUGUUUGGAUAUUUCUGAAAUUGUACUACAAGGUUCCAUAUCACAAAGGGAAAGCUGGAAUUGAGUUUGGGGGUAAUUGCCCGAAACGUUUAGGAAUUGGGGGCCAAAAAGGGGCCAAAAAUAAGCAUUUUUCUAGUUUCCAGACAAUAACUUGUGUUCAAGUGUAUGGAUCUCUCUGAAAUUGUACUGCAAGGUACCAUACCACAAAGGGAAGGCUGGGAUUGAGUUUGGGGGUGAUGAAUCAUAAGGGGGUUCAAAAAAUUUGGGGGGGGGAUUUUUUUUUUUUCUUUUUUUUUCUUUUUUUCCUUUUUUUUUUCUUUUAAAAUUUUCCAUUUUAAGUUGGUUAUUUCUGAUUAAUAUUUAAAAGCAAAUAAUAAUGAUAUGGUAGGGGAUACACACCAAACAGGAUGUGUAAAUUAUUAUAUAAUAAGUAUUGUGCAAUAGCAAGAAAUUUUCAAUUGCACAGUAUUGCACAAUUGCAAGAAAUCUUCAAUUGCACAGUAUUGCGCAAUAGCAAGAAAUCUUCAAUUGCACAGUAUUGCGCAAUAGCAAGAAAUAUCCAAUAGCACAAUAUUGCGCAAUAGCAAGAAAUUGUCAAUUGUACAGUAUUGCACAAUAGCAAGAAAUAUUCAAUUGCACAGUAUUGUGCAAAAGAAGAUACUUCGUAUAAAUUGCUUAUUUCUUGAUCAAUUUCAAUGGGGUUUUAUUCUUGAAUUCUUGGGGUUCUUUAAUAUUCUGAAUCUAACCGUGUAAUAAGUUUUUGGAUUUUGGGCCCCGAUUGUAAAUUGGUCCACAUUGAGGUCCAAAGGGUCCAAAAUUUAACUUUGUUUGAUUUCAUCAAAAAUUGAAUAAUUGGGGUUCUUUGAUAUGCCAAAUCUAACCGUGUAUUUAGAUUCUUAAUUUUUGGUUCCGUUUUCAAAUUGGUCUACAUUAAGGUCAAAAGGGUCCAAAAUUAAACUUAGUUUGAUUUUAACAAAAAUUGAAUUUUUUGGGUUCUUUGAUAUGCUGAAUCUAAACAUAUAUUUAGAUUUUUGAUUAUGGGCCCAGUUUUCAAGUUGGUCCAAAUCGGGGUCCAAAAUUAAACUUUGUUUGAUUUCAACAAAAAUUGAAUAUAUGGGGUUCUUUGAUAUGCUGAAUCUAACCAUGUAUUUAGAUUUUUGAUUUUUGGGCCCCGUUAUCAACUGUGUCCACAUUGAGGUCAAAAGGGUCCAAAAUUAAACUUUGUUUGAUUUCAUCAAAAAUUGAAUUCUUGGGGUUCUUUGAUAUGCUGAAUCUAACCAUGUAUUUAGAUUUUUUAUUUGUGGACCCGCUAUCAAAUUGGUUCAUAUUGAGGUCAAAAGGGUCCAAAAUUAAACUUUGUUUGAUUUCAUCAAAAAUUGAAUUAUUGGGGUUCUUUGAUAUGCCAAAUCUAACGGUGUAUUUAGAUUUUUAAUUUUGGGUCCCGUUUUUAAAUUGGUCUACAUUAAGGUCCAAAGGGUCCAAAAUUAAACUUAGUUUGAUUUUAACAAAAAUUGAAUUCUUGGGGUUCUUUGAUAUGCUGAAUCUAAACAUGUGUUUAGAUUUUUGAUUAUGGGCCCAGUUUUCAAGUUGUUCCAAGUUGGGGUCCAAAAUUAAACUUGGUUUGAUUUCAACAAAAAUUGAAUAUAUGGGGUUCUUUGAUAUGCUGAAUCUAAACAUGUAUUAAGAUUUUAGAUUUUUGGCCCAGUUUUCAAGUUGGUCCAAAUUGGGGUCCAAAAUUAAAUUUUGUUUGAUUUCAACAAAAAUUGAAUAUAUGGGGUUCUUUGAUAUGCUGAAUCUUACCAUGUAUUUAGAUUUUUUAUUUGUGGGCCCGCUAUCAAAUUGGUUCAUAUUGAGGUCAAAAGGGUCCAAAAUUAAACUUUGUUUGAUUUCAUCAAAAAUUGAAUUAUUGGGGUUCUUUGAUAUGCCAAAUCUAACCGUGUAUUUAGAUUUUUCCUUUUGGGUCCCGUUUUUUAAAUUGGUCUACAUUAAGGUCCAAAGGGUCCAAAAUUAAACUUAGUUUGAUUUUAACAAAAAUUGAAUUUUUUGGGUUCUUUGAUAUGCUGAAUCUAAACAUGUGUUUAGAUUUUUGAUUAUGGGCCCAGUUUUCAAGUUGGUCCAAGUUGGGGUCCAAAAUUAAACUUUGUUUGAUUUCAACAAAAAUUGAAUAUAUGGGGUUCUUUGAUAUGCUGAAUCUAAACAUGUAUUUAGAUUUUAGAUUUUUGGCCCAGUUUUCAAGUUGGUCCAAAUUGGGGUCCAAAAUUAAACUUGGUUUGAUUUCAACAAAAAUUGAAUAUAUGGGGUUCUUUGAUAUGCUGAAUCUUACCAUGUAUUUAGAUUUUUUAUUUUGUGGGCCCGCUAUCAAAUUGGUUCAUAUUGAGGUCAAAAGGGUCCAAAAUUAAUCUUUGUUUGAUUUCAUCAAAAAUUGAAUUAUUGGGGUUCUUUGAUAUGCCAAAUCUAACCGUGUUUUUAGAUUUUUAAUUUUGGGUCCCGUUUUUUAAAUUGGUGUACAUUAAGGUCCAAAGGGUCCAAAAUUAAACUUAGUUUGAUUUUAACAAAAAUUGAAUUCUUGGGGUACUUUGAUAUGCUGAAUCUAAACAUGUGUUCAGAUUUUUGAUUAUGGGACCAGAUUUCAAGUUUGUCCAAGUUGGGGUCCAAAAUUAAACUUUGUUUGAUUUCAACAAAAAUUGAAUAUAUGGGGUUCUUUGAUAUGCUGAAUCUAACCAUGUAUUUUGAUUUUGGACAUUGGACCAUAAUAGGUAAAUUAAAAAAAUUGAAGUUCUUAGACCACAUUCUUUCUGUGUCAGAAACCUAUGCUGUGUCAAAUAUUUAAUCACAAUCCAAAUUCAGAGCUGUAUCAAGCUUGAAUGUUGUGUCCAUACUUGCCCCAACUGUUCAGGGUUCGACCUCUGCGGUCGUAUCAAGCUGCGCCCAGCGAAGCAUUUUAUUGAUUAUGGGCCCAGUUUUCAAGUUGGUCCAAAUCGGGGUCCAAAAUUAAACUUUGUUUGAUUUCAACAAAAAUUGAAUAUAUGGGGUUCUUUGAUAUGCUGAAUCUAACCAUGUAUUUAGAUUUUUCAUUUUUGGGCCCCGUUAUCAACUUUGUCCACAUUGAGAUCAAAAGGGUCCAAAAUUAAACUUUGUUUGAUUUCAUCAAAAAUUGAAUUCUUCGGGUUCUUUGAUAUGCUGAAUCUAACCGUGUAUUAAGUUUUUGGAUUUUGGGCCCCGUUUUUAAAUUGGUCCACAUUGAGGUCCAAAGGGUACAAAAUUUAACUUUGUUUGAUUUCAUCAAAAAUUGAAUUAUUGGGGUUCUUUGAUAUGCCGAAUCUAACCGUGUAUUUAGAUUCUUAAUUUUUGGUUCCGUUUUCAAAUUGGUCUACGUUAAGGUCCAAAGGGUCCAAAAUUAAACUUAGUUUGAUUUUAACAAAAAUUGAAUUCUUAGGGUUCUUUGAUAUGCUGAAUCUAAACAUGUAUUUAGAUUUUUGAUUAUGGGCCCAGUUUUCAAGUUGGUCCAAAUCGGGGUCCAAAAUUAAACUUUGUUUGAUUUCAACAAAAAUUGAAUAUAUGGGGUUCUUUGAUAUGCUGAAUCUAACCAUGUAUUUAGAUUUUUGAUUUUUGGGCCCCGUUAUCAACUUUGUCCACAUUGAGGUCAAAAGGGUCCAAAAUUAAACUUUGUUUGAUUUCAUCAAAAAUUGAAUUCUUGGGGUUCUUUGAUAUGCUGAAUCUAACCAUGUAUUUAGAUUUUGGAUAUUGGACCAUAAUAGGUGAAUGUCCAAUUUAAAAUUUUUAAGUUCUUAGACCACAUUCAAUCUGUGUUAGAAACCUAUGCUGUGUCAAAUAUUUAAUCACAAUCCAAAUCAAAAGCUGUAUCAAGCUUGAAUGUUGUGUCCAUACUUCCCCCAACUGUUCAGGGUUCGACCUCUGCGGUCGUAUCAAGCUGCGCCCUGCGGAGCAUUUUAUUUAUUUGUGGGCCCUGCUAUCAAAUUGGUUCAUAUUGAGGUCAAAAGGGUCCAAAAUUAAACUUUGUUUGAUUUCAUCAAAACUUGAAUUAUUGGGGUUCUUUGAUAUUCCAAAUAUAACUGUGUAUUUAGAUUUUUAAUUUUGGGUCCCGUUUUUAUACGACCGCAAAAAAUUUUGCGGUCGUAUAUUGGUAUGACGUUGGCGUCGUCCGAAGACACAUUGGUUUUCGCACUCUAACUUUAGUUUAAGUGAAUGGAUCUCUAUGAUAUUUUACCAUAAGGUUCAAUACCACAAAAGGAAGGUUGGGAUUGAUUUUGGGGGUUAUGGUACCAACAGUUAAGGAAUAAGGGGCCAAAAAUAAGCAUUUUUGUAACUUCCAGACAUAACUUGUGUGUUAGUGUAUGGAUCUCUCUGACAUUGUACCACAAGGUUCCAUAUCACUAAAGGAAUGCUGGGAUUGAUUUUGGGGGUAAUUGCCUCCAAAUUUUAGGAAUUAGGGGCCAAAAAAGGGGCAAAAAACAAGCAUUUUUCUAGUUUCAUGACAAUAACUUGUGUGUAAGUGUAUGGAUCUUUCUGAAAUUGUACUACAAGGUUCCAUAUCACAAAGGGAAAGCUGGGUUUGAGUUUGGGGGUAAUUGCCCUAAACGUUUAGGAAUUUGGGGCCAAUAAGGGGCCAAAAAACAUAUUUUUCUAGUUUCCAGACAAUGACUUGUGUUCAAGUGUAUGGAUCUCUCUGAAAUUGUACUGCAAGGUACCAUACCACAAAGGAAAGGCUGGGAUUGAGUUUGGGGGUGAUGAAUCAUAAGGGGGUUCAAAAUAUUUUGGGG